Small nuclear RNA from Homo sapiens (human), 111 nucleotides. The record is from Ensembl. Lineage: Eukaryota; Metazoa; Chordata; Mammalia; Primates; Hominidae.
GUACUCACUUCUGCAGCACAUAUACUAAAAAUUGGGAUGAUAAUAGAGAAAAGAUCAAUAUGACCCCUGCUCAAGGAUGACAUGCAAAUUUGUGAAGCAUUCCAUAUUUUU